Molecule: ribosomal RNA, 332 nt
Filed under: uncultured Anaerolineaceae bacterium
Lineage: Bacteria; Bacillati; Chloroflexota; Anaerolineae; Anaerolineales; Anaerolineaceae
Description: bacterial SSU rRNA
Rfam family: Bacterial small subunit ribosomal RNA
Source: RNAcentral
UGCUGCGAUGGCUGUCGUCAGCUCGUGUCGUGAGAUGUUCGGUUAAGUCCGCUAACGAGCGCAACCCUCGCUGUGUGUUACAAGUGCCACACGGAACUGCCGGUCAUAAACCGGAGGAAGGUGGGGAUGACGUCAAGUCAGCAUGGCCUUUAUAUCCUGGGCUACACACACGCUACAAUGGGAAGGGACAAUAGGUUGCGAAGCCGCGAGGCGGAGCCAAUCCAGCAAAACUUCCCUCAGUUCAGAUUGCAGGCUGCAACCCGCCUGCAUGAAGUUGGAGUUGCUAGUAAACGCAGGUCAGCCAUACUGCGUUGAAUACGUUCCCGGGGCUU